CACGUAGGCACCAAGCGUUGUCCGGAUUUAUUGGGCGUAAAGAGCUCGUAGGCGGUUCAGUAAGUCGGGUGUGAAAACUCUGGGCUCAACCCAGAGACGCCACCCGAUACUGCUGUGACUUGAGUACGGUAGGGGAGUGGGGAAUUCCUGGUGUAGCGGUGAAAUGCGCAGAUAUCAGGAGGAACACCAGUGGCGAAGGCGGCAUCCUGGACCGGCAUUGACGCUGAGGAGCGAAAGCUAGGGGAGCAAACGGG
RNAcentral lists this ribosomal RNA (254 nucleotides) under uncultured bacterium. RNAcentral's name for it is "partial 16S ribosomal RNA". It matches the Rfam family "Bacterial small subunit ribosomal RNA", at positions 524 to 776 of the family's 1533-position model. The record is from RNAcentral.